Molecule: ribosomal RNA, 497 nt
Filed under: uncultured bacterium
Lineage: Bacteria
Description: partial 16S ribosomal RNA
Rfam family: Bacterial small subunit ribosomal RNA
Source: RNAcentral
GAUGAACGCUGGCGGCGUGCCUAAUACAUGCAAGUCGAGCGAACAGACGAGGAGCUUGCUCCUCUGACGUUAGCGGCGGACGGGUGAGUAACACGUGGAUAACCUACCUAUAAGACUGGGAUAACUUCGGGAAACCGGAGCUAAUACCGGAUAAUAUAUUGAACCGCAUGGUGCAAUAGUGAAAGACGGUGUUGCGGUCACUUCUAGAUGGAUCCGCGCCGUAUUAGCUAGUUGGUAAGUUAACGGCUUACCAAGGCAAGGAUGCGUAUCCGAACUGAGAGGGUGAUCGCCGACACUGGAGCGGGGACACGGUCAAGAGUCCUACGGGACGCAGCAGUAGCGAAUCUGACGCAAUGGGCGGAAGCCUGACGGAGCAACGGCGCGUGAGUGAUGGAGGUGUUCGGAUCGUAAAACUCUGUUAUUAGGGAAGAACCAAUGUGUAAGUAACUAUGCACGGAUUGACGGUACUUAAUCAGAAAGCCCCGGCUAACUACGUG